UUUUUUUUUUUUCUUUUUCCUGAAAGGAUAGGGUUCAUUUAGUGUGGAAGAGAGAAAAGAUGGGGUUUUUUAGUCUUAAGGAGAGACCAUGAUGGAGGAUAUCUUUCCAAAUAGAUAAAAGGCUGAUGUAGUAAGGAAGGCAAUAAAUCUGUUCUCCAUGUUCAGGGUGGACACAAGAAGAAAUAACGGGGCUUUAAUAGCAGAGGAAAACAACCCAAAACAUCAAGCUAAGCAUUAGGAAAAUAUUCUACUGGUAAGGCUAUAGCUCUUGGAGAAUUCUGCCUGGCUGGAGAUCUCCAACUAUCUCAGUCUUUGUUUUGAGGUAAAGCACCCUCAGGAUAACAGAAAGGACUUGUUCUGCCUGAGGGCUGGAUAAUCUCUGAAGUGUCUCCAAGGCUUGGGAUUCUCUGAUGCUGAGGGCAGUUUUUUUUAAGAUUAAGCAUAUUAAUAUGGAAAGAGUCUGGUAAGAGAUUGUAGGUGCAGCAAGUAGACUCUCAAAGAAUUUCCUUUGGACAGCAGUGGCUUUGGCAGGCUGGUGUGGCUGUCCCCAGGCUUUGCACGUGCCUUGUAUGUGGUCUGCAUGUUCACAGGCACAGAUGGGGCUGGCAGAGGCAAAAUAUUUCUUUUAAUCCUUCUAAGAAAUGACAAAUUAAGAUGUGAUUAUAGAACUGUUAAAAAGAAAUUACCACAGAGGAAUUUCCAGAUGGUCAUGCAGAAUUACUAUUGAAGAGUGAACAGCAAGGUUGAGUUAUUUAUGCAAGUAGAGGUCUUUCUUCUCUUUGUUUCAGGUUGGAGAGUCCCAUUCUGUCUUUCAGUCCAUAUAAUAAUUUCUUAUUCAGUCCAGUUACAACUACCUUUCUGCCUGCUAGUUCCAUUUUAUUGUCCAGUGCUGAUAAUAUUCUUUUAAACCUAAUUCCUCAAGAAUAUAAUAUGACGGGCUCAGUUUCUUCCCUGCUGAGGAAAAUAACCUUGAGACUUUUUUGACUGGUGCAAAGCUUAUUUGACUGGGUGUAAGGGAUGCUUUGGUACUGUUCUGUGGACCAGUGUGCAAUUCUGCAUGAUAGGGUAUCAGAGCAAAUCACUGCUGAUAACCUCCUAGGUUAAUUGCUGUGCAAAGAGUGCCUUGAAUCAACACAUUAUGUUUAAUCCCAGAACACACUCUGGCUCUCUCUUUACUGUAACUCUAUGGGGCUUCCAAUUGUUAUUUAUGCAUGAUAGGUGACACUUAUUUCAAAGCUAUCUAAGUGACUUAGACACAACAGUUUAAAUGUUUUGCAGGAGCUCAUCCCUGUAGAUGAUUCUGGCAUAAUAUACAUGACAAAUAUUUCUACGUAUUCCAGCUAAUGCAUAGAUAAGUCCCUACUCCUUAUUACUGGAAGUUCUAAAGCCUUGUUUGUUCUAGCUACAUUUUUUUAAAGUCUUUUAAGUGCUGAGCAUUGCACAUGAGUCUCAGAGGUCACCAUGAGAUCCUGACAGAAAUUCUGAUCAAACUGGAGACUUCUGUAUUUGAUAGUGUCUAAAUGCUGUGUUUAUUCCAGAUGGUCCUCUGGGAGAUGAUCCCAGAGAUGGAGAAAGAUUUCAGUCAAAUCAGUGGAAAGAUUUCUUUGGCUCAGGCCCAUAGAAACUCCAGAAAUCAAAAACCUUGCACAGCACAGGACUUGUGGCUGCUGAGGAUUAGGCUGUAUUGCAGUUUUACUAAGGAAAAUUUCUCAAGGUGUUUCACAAAUUCACUGACCAGUCAUGUGACAAGAAGAACUCUGGUAGCUUGCUCAAUACUUCUUCACUAUUCACACUGCUUGUGUUCAGUCUCCUUUCUCAUUAGGUCUUGCACUUCCAAAUCCCAACAUUUUUCACAACCAACUAUUUAAGUAUUCUUGCCAAGGCACAUUGCAAGGGAAGGUGGCUUCUGUUUCUCUUUUAAUCUCUUACCCAAGAAACUGUGCCUCUGCAAUGCUCUUUAAUUUAUUACUGUAUCACUCACAGCUUCUUUUUUUGUGGUCUCACAGCUUGUCUGCAGUAUUCCAUCCAUAGUAAUCAAGGGUUUGACUGAAUUUACAUCACCUUGUAAUGCGGGUAGCAGGGUAAGAAAGGAAGGGAGACAAUGCUGCACACAUCCUGUUCAUCUCAGAAUAAUGGUCUGUGUACACAACAUGCAGAUAGUUCAGAUGUAGCAAAAAUCAAAGAAAAUGCUGGUUUUUUACAUUGCAGUCAGCUAGAAGCUAUUAUAAACAGUUCCACUAUUGGCAUCAAAAUAAAUCUUGGCUUCCAGAUAAAGCAGUAUAAGUUUUCUUUGCAAGUUCAUAGAGUAGCUCUCAAUUUACAUCUUAUAUACAGAAUCUGUGGAAGGAAUGUGUAUUAACUUUUUCAUCAAAGUUUUGAUCUUUGCUUUGUAGCCUGUGAGGCUUUCCAUCGCUUCUUUAUUGCUUUCAAGGCUGGUAGUGUGCUCAUAGUCAGGACUGCUAAAAGUUAUUUUUCCUUAAUCCUUCUCCAUCACAUGCUUGGACCUAGCGUCUAAGCCUAGCUUAUAGAUUUUGAAGUUAACCUUAUGAAAGAAACGUACUGCAAAUAUAGCAGUGGCAUCUGUAGCUUCUUUGUUUAUAAUUUUAAAUUUUAUGGGGUUUUUUGAGGGGAUUUAAAACAAAAUACAUUUGAAGUCAUAAAAUGCACAUCUGUGAAAGAAGUCAUGUGGCUCAAAAUGCAAGAGUAAACAGCUCUGACAAUGAAGUGUUCUCAACUACCCUUGCCAUGUAGAAUGACUAACCUGCUAAAAUCAUACUUGUCAGCUCACACAAAUAAGCAGAUAAGUUUCAGUAAAAUGCAGAAAUAUGCAAGAAAUGUCGCUUCAAGGCAAGCAGCAAGGGGUGGUUGAAGAUGGCAACUAGAGCAGCAGAAGGUCUGCAAAGAGGUGAGAUACAGCAACAUUCUGUAGCCAGGCUUGAUUAAUCUCUGGCAACCCCAGUCCUGAGAGCAGAUAAUGGACUCAUGGACUCAUGGAAAAUGCAGGACUUUUCUGAUAAAUUGCAACUAUUUCCAUGGAAAUGACAAGGAUUUUGCUACUUGGGCUAUUUCUGGGGAUCUGUUGUAUCAUUGUUAUAUAUUCUUUACAAGUUGCACUUGUUUGAAAGAUUGUACUGGAUGGAAAUCAUGAUUUCUAGAUAAUUUCUAGUUUGAAGAAGGUUUUUGUAGAGAACCUUUGCUGAUCCUGAUCACUUCUUGUUAUAAUACAGCUCUUUUCCUAAACUAAGAUCUUAGACUUGCUUGCACUUUAGGCCAGGGUUGAGGAUUAUCCCAUAAAGGAUAGCAUUCUUAUCUAAUAAGAAGUAAAAGAUUAGAGGGUGGCAUUCACUGGUAAAUUAGAAAUAUCCUUCAUUUGUGCUUUUUGUGCUGCAGGUACUGCAGGUUGCCUGUUGGGCUCCUUUAGCUGCUGAUAUACCACAGGACUUUGCUGUUCAGAUUCUUGUUUGGAGCCGUUUUGUGACUACUCUGACUCUCCUGUGAUGAGACUUAAUACACAUUAACCUUCUUGGGAGGGAAAAGACCACACUCAGGUAUCUGGGCUCCUUAUUACAUAAUGCCUCUAAGCUCAGCUUUACAGAGGCGGGAAUGACCAUGAAUUAGUGCUAAAUGAAACAAGGAAGAGAGGAAAGACAAGUGCUUUUUGUGUGUGGAUAUGUCUUCUGGGGAAUGACCUACAGAGAAACUGUGCAGUGAAAGGAGUAUUUGAUAAUGGCUAACACUCAGUGAGCAGUCAAAUCCAAUGAAAAUAUGCCUUAGAAAUUAGCUGUGCUGCAUGAGAGGUGCAGAAAAUUACCAAUGCAUUCCUCAAUAUAAUAAAUGCUUUUUAACAGAAUAGGCAGAACAUGAUGCUGCACAAGGACCUAUCUUUCAUAAUUUUAGCUUUAUAAUGAGACCACAGCAACCAACUUUAGUCAUGAGCAAAAAAAACGUGCUUUCUUUGAACAUAAGUGCUAGUAGUUGCAUAAUAUGAAACUUACUGAUGCAAAUAAUGGUAGCACUGGGCUGUCUGAGCACAAUGUACGCUUUAAAAUUAAUCUCUGAACAGAUCAGCAAGCACAUGCAGAUUCUCCCAUGUUGACAAGAGCAGUGCACUUCUUUAGGAGAAGCCAAAUUUCCAAAGCCUGGCAGCUGGAGUUCUCAAGCUUGUUGUUCCGUUAUUAACUCUGUAAGCCUCAGGGAAGGGGUAAUGGAUGAGAUGAUCCCAAGAGGUCCGUCCCAGACCUACUUUGUUUGGUUUCAAGGUUCCUAACCAAGCAAGCAAUAAGCACAAGUGUUCUCUGAAAUGAGCAGAGGGAAAGAGAUGUGUAUUCGUUAUUCAAGAUACUCUGUUCAGUUCAAAGCUGUGUAGUCCAUUCCAGAGUUCAGCAAAGAACAGGUACAAGGAGCCACAGCCACAAGGACACUGCUUGGAGGAACUCUGCAACCCCCAGUGAUGCUGAAUGUACUCUGAGAAAAACCACAAAACUCUUGCCUUGAAGCGACGUUUCUUGCAUAUUUGGUGAUUUCAAGUAAAAGCUCCCUUUUUUCCCCCCUCUUUUUAUGGAAAAGGAAGGGCACAUUUUUAGAAUAAAGUCUGUCCCAGUCUUUUUGCAGUCCUUUGACUACAGCAAUGCAUUUCUGUGUUUCUCCCUCUGCCUUCUUCCAACAAAUCAAGCAAGGCUUCAGUUCAAAUUUUAAAUGGAAGUCAGAUGAUUUGUAGGGAUUUUGUUAUGCAUUGUAGAACAUUUGUACUUUCACAAGCUCAGGUCAGAAUUUUCCUUGUGUCUAGAAGAAUCAGCUAUCUUUCCCCAUCAGCUUUGAGGGGCUUUCAGGCAUACAUGAAAAUAGUCUGAGUGAUUUAGAUACCUACUGAAAGUCAUUCAGACAGAGAACCUAUUGCACUUUUAAAAAUAAGACUUCCUUCAAAUGUGUUAAAAAUCCCAGCUGCGACAGCUGUGGUGAUAAGGCGUUAAGUUGAACUCUGCCAUUUUGUAAAACAGGAUAAUUUUUCUCUGUUUUCUGGCAGAUAUGCAAUCCAGUGAAACAAGUCAUUAAAAUAUUCAUUUGUAAGGAUAAACAGAAUUGACAAAUAAAGCUAUUUUUUGAAACUAGGCUGAAAAGGUAUUUUUUUCUUGAGAGGUGAUGAUAGAUUUCAAAGCUCAGUCCAUGGUACCUAUGCCUACACCACAAUUCUUCCCCCAAUUAGCUGUUUGUAAGGCAGUGCCAUCUUCCACUUGUCACAUUAUAGACUUUAUUCAAAUGAAAUACCUGAAAGAAAAACCUCCAACCUGUCCAGUACUACUGAGCAGAAUUCUAUUAUGUAAAUCUACUUCCAUAUUUUGGGAACAAAUGAUAGGCAGGACAUGAAAUGGAAAAAUAAAUUUUACGCAUACAAGUAAAAGAUCAGUCAGGCAAUGUACUGAGGUAUCAUUAGGGCUGAUGAAUCACUAUUAUCAUUAUAAAAAUAACAUAUAAUGCUUCAAACCCUGCAUCGUGGCUGACUUCUUUGCUGAUGAAUAUUUAUGCAGUUUCUUUUGUUUCUUUGUGUGUCUAACAGAUGCCAAGCUAAGUUCAAUAGACAAAUUGCAUCUCUGUGAACUGUCACAGCCUUGUCCUUGUUUUUUCUAGCAAACUGAAGUUACAUAGCAAAAUAGGAUAAAUAAACAGAGGUCAGAACCUCCAUUUCCGUACAAGAUUCAAUCAACUGAUAAAUAAUGUGGAAAAAUUCAGUUCAGAUCAAAUAAGGAAUGAAAUUUAAGUGUUCUUUAUUUGAAAUGAACUCUUGCAUAUCUGCACUCUGAGGAUCAUAAGUUACCUAAGCAAUGUGUGUGUCAUAACCUAAUUAGCCACAUAUUUAUACUAAAUUUCUCAAUAUUCCUUGUGUCUGUGCUCCUUACCUUCUGUGCAGGAUGGGAGAAUUAUUAUAAGCAUAUGGGGGUUAUUAGCAAAUAAGGCUUUUAAACAAAUUAAAAAAUUACGAGGACAAAAACAAAGGUGGCUAGGUAAUGAUGUUUGGAGACACAAAAUCUGAGGUCAACAACCUUUACAACCUUUUUCAAUUGAUAAUAAAUCAGUGCAAUUAACUCAGUGUCUUUGCAUAAUCUUAUUCCCAAACAAACUUUUAUUUUAGCACAGUAGUUUUUAUGGCAGGUGGGGUUUUUUUGGGGGGAUUUUUUUGUUGUGCCUCCAGAUGUAUAGUCCUAUUGAUUUGCUUUGCAAGCUUUCUGUAGAAGGUAGAAUCAAUGGAGCACUGUCACCCAAACAACCCUGAAGUAGAAUUUAUAGAUCUGGGGAAAUUACUUAAUUGCUGGAAUGAUGCUGGUAGCUAAGCCUGCCCACUAACACUUGUGCAACUACUGUGCAUUUUUCAAGUCCCAGGCAUCAAAUAUAUAACAGUAUAUACAAGUAACUGGAAAAUAAUGUAAAUACUUCUGGAUUGUCAUCACUUUUUUGAGGCAUUACACAGAAUUUAACUGAUGCUCACACAGAGAUACUAUCGCUGAAUUUUGUCCUUAAUUCUUCCUAGAACAGCCUUGAGUCUUUUGACAUCUAAGAUGCACUAGGUUUCCCACAGCUAAUUUUGGCUAUACGAAAGCAAAGUUUGCCAUUUAAAAAAAUACCAGGCAGAAUUAGGUAAAAGAUUUUCUCUUCUCUCAGUGCCAACCACUUCUUUCUGUCUCCAUGUGGAAAGUCUCUACUUGCAAAAGCAGCACGUGGGAUUUGAUAAUUAUUCAGAGGGCUGAAGAGAUACGUGCCUUCCAAGAAGCAAAUAGCUCAGCAUCACUUCACUAAGUGAUACAUUUGCAAAGAUCGUGGGUCUGCUUUGAUAAGUAGAAACUCACACAAAAGUUGAUUCUCCCUCAUCAGCUUGAUUGUUGCAGUGCCCACAAAUCACUGUGAUUACUUACAGCCCAACCUCUUCUCCAAAGUCUUGUAGUCCCUCUGUUCCAACUUCUUUAGGAGGAAAACUUGCUGAUAUUUAAAAAUAACAAGACUGCAACCAAGCAGUGAGCAUGUUUUGUGGGGACAGGGAGAUUCUUUCUUUGUUUUGUUUGGAAUUUUUUUUGAUCUGCUUUAUUUUGCCUAGUAAUCCAACACUCUACAUCUUUUGGUCAGCUUUGUCCAAGGAAUUUUUUAUAUCCUCACAGAAAUCAGCACCUACCAUACCCAGCUAUACAGAAGGUACUGAGCCUUACUCUGAAUGCCUCCUACUUCUGUGCUUGGCUGCUGCCGGGAUGUUUUCCAGUGAUGCCUUUGCCAAGGGAUCCAACAGUGUGUAACACCACACCAUUUACUAGCACUUCCAACUCCUGAAGACCAACAUUGGGUCUGGAAUCAGAGGAGUGUUAUUUACGAGGAAAUCUUUUUACAUACCUGCACGAUACUGUCUUUAGCCAGUGUCUCUUGAAGUGGCAAUGUAAAGUAAUUUGAUUCACUUGCUUGACCAGUUUCUAAUUGGAUAUAAUGAAGCAAUGUGAGAUUGCUGUACACACUCCCUCCAGCACCGCUCAAUUAUUCCUUGCAUUUCUGUGAUGAGAUCAGCAGGACAAUUUCAUACUUACUGGGCUCUCUGUGCAGCAGACAGUCCCACCCAGCUAAUGAGGCUUUACUGCCAUUCCAGCACCAUCACAUUUUUAUUCACUUCUCCUUAGAUUUAAACUUCAUAUUCAUAUUCCCCUCUGCAAGUACCACAUGAGUAUAUAAGCUUCUUAAUGCAAAACAAUACACGAUCUGGUGGUGUGCAUUACACAUCUAUACCUUUUGCUAAAAAUCAGCCGUGCAUUAAAUGGAUGGUAUUUCUAUUUAAAACAGCCAGCAUGGUCUGAACAGAUACACUGUGAGCUGGUUGCCUAGGCAACAAAAUUCCUUAAAUUGGAGGGGUCUGUAACAGAAGAUGUUUAUCUAGCUUUAACUUUGGGUCCUGGUUUCUAAAAAUCUUAAUUGACUCCUUUCAAAUGUAUUUUAUCUAGUGAUGAUGCUACAUUUUAAGCAACAACUAGGACAGAUUCAUCUACUGUAUCUCUGAUACAAAUUAUAGAUAUAGAGCACAUAAAAUAGAGACAAAGGUUAAAGGGUAACUUAUUUCACAGUUUGGCAAUUGUUUAGAUGGUUGAGCCUUGCCUCUUGUCUGCUAGCUUCACUGUAUAUUUGUUCAUUGACUUCAUUGAUAUAAAGCAUAAAAAAUUAUAUUUGCUGAUUUGACAACAACUGGACUAUCAGAUAUCAAACUUCUUGACCUAGUUUUUAUUAAGUUCUGUAUUUUCUUAAUGUUUUCUGUAAGUCUCCCUGCAGUGUGCUUCUCUCUCCACCUAACUCAGCACCAUGGAUAGAGGUUCCCCCUAAUCUGAAGGUAUUGUAGAGAUUUUUGUUUUGCUCAACUUUCUUUUUUUUUUUCUAAAUGGGAUGGGGUUUGCUCUCAGUGAAGUAUGACUGCAGUUUCCCUUAAUAACCCCCAUGGAUGCAGAAGUAGGGUUGCAUGUUAGCAUGGCUUGGCAGCAAUGCAAGGCUUUUAGGGCUUAGUGCUCCCAAACUGGGAGCUGUGGAUCCAUGGCAGGGCAGCUGUGCUACUCUCAGGGCUUAAAUCAGUGUCUCAGGGGUGACAUCAGACUCUGCUGUGAAGGAGGACACUGCAGGGCACAGCAGUUCCAUCAGUGUGAAGGUGGGGGUGGCCGUACAUCUGAGGGGAUGCUGCGACACCAAGUUGGGGAGGACCAUUUCAGGUAUUCCAGCAUCACUUUCCCAGGAGUUCAGCACCCAUAGCUGGAGGGAAAAUCCCAAAAUGCUUAUCUCCCAUUAGUCAUUACUUAACUGAGGAGAUAGUCUAAAAUAUUCAGUGUUAGGUAACUUCUGUUGUUCUUACAGCAUCAGAGGCUUCUGAAAAGCCAAGCAGGUCAGGGCACCAUGGGUUCAUCCUGCAGGUCUGGGGCAGCUGACAAAUUGCUUUCAGAGGAGACUGUGUGUGCAAAGUUGUUCCCACUCAGGAUCUUGGGAACCAAGUUUUCUGGCUUUUCAGGGACUUCAAAAGGAAUUAAAAUUAACAGGAGGUGAACAUUCAGAUUUCUUAAGAAGUUUUAAAAGUAAAGGCUUAAUGUUUCUGUAGGUGGUUUUUUACAAAAUGCUUGAGAGAUUUGAGAGCACAAGGCUCCCUGCAAGGCAGCAGGGCUGCACUCCUCAAUCCCUUUAGGGAGAGGAUUGUGGACUGCUUACCCAAAGACAGGUAGAAAAUAUCUCCCUAAAAAAAAAGCUGAGAAUUCUCCACCUUGUGUUUCCUUUCUGCUCACCUGGAUUAUACUGAUCUGCACUGAAAGCAAAUGUAGGACUGGGAAUCAAUCACACAUAAGUUACUUCUGCUGUCUGAAUUUAGGUGUUUUUUACUCCUUGUCUGGAGCUGUGGUUUAGGGGAAGGCAUGCACAGUUUUGUGAAUUUUAACUUUGGGAGGAAAGAAUUUGGUGUGCAUGUGGUUUGGACAGCAGAAACUUUACACAGAUUAUGAUAUUGUUUUGCCUUCUCCUCCAAUUAAAUCUCAAGUUAAUUAAAUUAAUUAAAUGCCAAAUUAAUACUCAUUUCCCCACUGUAGAUUGACAUUUCUCAGCACUUUGUUUCUAGAGCAUAUAUUCUUGCUUUUCAGCACUGUUUUCCAUAGAUGUUUUUAAAAGCCUUUGGUAAGUAUAUCUCAAAUGCAACACAUGGAAACAUCAUGUGCACUCGUGCUUGUGUAUUCAUGAAAUAGAAAUUAAACUGAUUUGAGUAAAUCUGGUAAAAACGACCUGUCAAAUGUACUAAAGUUUCAGUGCAAAAUGCAGGCAGCAAAAUAUUUUCUGCUCAGCUGAGUUUGCCUCAUCCUUUUCUUGCUGAGCACCCAUUUGCUUCCUCUCCUGAGGACAAGAUCUUUCUCAUUUUCAUUAGGCUUCUCUAAAAAUUCAGACAACGUUGCUGUUCUCUGCAGAUAGAUUUUGGCCUUUAAAAGCUCAGUCUUGCUGUAUGGUUAUGAAAGUAUUACUGAAUAUUUUUAUUCUGGUUUUUUAUUCUUAACUGUCCAUCAAUUUUUAGUAUCUGAAAAUCUCAGUGGUUUAGACAAGAGAGAGAUAUCACUUUCAGCUCAAAGGAUUUUCCAUGAUAGCAGCUUGUCACUAGGACCACUCAGUGACUCAAAAUAAGAUGCUUUGUUCCUAAGCCUUCUUUAGCAUGUAGCCCUGGACAUUUAUUGUGAUGAGUUCAGCUUAGACAGAUGUGUUUGCAGGUCCUGUCUUGUUCUUACAGUAAACAGGAGAGAUGGAAAAAUGUACAACUAAUUGCCAGUGGGGUAAUUAAUUCCCACAUACUUUGACAGAGCCUGUUAAUUAAAUUGUGAUUCUGAGGGUUGUUGAAUAAAUUCUGCUUGGAAAAGGGUAGCCACACACCAGAAGGGUAGAGACCCAUAUCAUGCAAAAUAUAAAGUUUUAAUAAUCUAUUUUAGAGCAAACUUCUGCUUUUUAAAUUACUAUUACUAUUAUUAUUUCUUUCAUGUUUGACUGAGGUUUUAAGAUGUUUCAAAGAUGAAAAUUAACAUUUGGAAAGGAUCAGGCAUUUGGAAUUGAAUGACAGAAGUAUUUGUUUAAAGAAAACAGAACAAAACAACAAGAAUAACAACAAAAACUCAAAAAGAAAACCAGCAAAAGCAACAGAAAAAAAAAAAACAACCCAACAUACCAACCUGAGAUGUCUAGAUUGUUACCAUCCUGUGCCUUGUUCCUUCCCUAGACCUUCUCUCAUAUGAGGAGUAAAAGCAAACUGAAAGGUUCUUUUUCAAAAAAAAAAAAAAAAAAA
Molecule: long non-coding RNA, 10804 nt
Organism: Taeniopygia guttata (zebra finch)
Lineage: Eukaryota; Metazoa; Chordata; Aves; Passeriformes; Estrildidae
Source: Ensembl